UCAGACAGAAUUCCGUGGGCUCCAGAGGUUUCCCUAGAAAGAUCUCUACUAUACAUACUUUCAGCGGCCGACGGGGUGCUUCGGGAGAAUUUUUAAAUUGCUGCUUUUUAAAAAUGUCAUCAGGCUCCUCUCCGCUAUGACAGUUUAUCAGACUUUGCUUUUGAUGACCUUGGCAGUUUUGAAGAGUGCCGGUCGGUGAUGGAGAUGGAACGCAAGGUUUUGUACAUGCUGGGU
Long non-coding RNA from Chinchilla lanigera (long-tailed chinchilla), 234 nucleotides. RefSeq lists it as uncharacterized. The record is from RefSeq and is a predicted model, not a curated record. The transcript is spliced from 3 exons. Lineage: Eukaryota; Metazoa; Chordata; Mammalia; Rodentia; Chinchillidae.